AUGAAGCUGGAAUUGCUAGUAAUGGCAGGUCAGCAUACUGCCGUGAAUACGUUCCCGGGGCCCUUGUACACACCGCCCGUCACACCAUGAGAGUUGGGAAUACCCGAAGCCUGUGAGCUAACUUAUAGAGGCAGCAGUCGAAGGUAGAAUCAAUGAUUGGGGUGAAGUCGUAACAAGGUACC
This 182-nucleotide ribosomal RNA is filed under the name uncultured bacterium. Its description in RNAcentral is "partial 16S ribosomal RNA". It matches the Rfam family "Bacterial small subunit ribosomal RNA", at positions 1320 to 1500 of the family's 1533-position model. The record is from RNAcentral.